RNAcentral lists this ribosomal RNA (270 nucleotides) under uncultured bacterium. RNAcentral describes it as "partial 16S ribosomal RNA". It matches the Rfam family "Bacterial small subunit ribosomal RNA", at positions 88 to 354 of the family's 1533-position model. The record is from RNAcentral.
CCGGCGACCGGCGCACGGGUGAGUAACGCGUAUGCAACCUGCCCGUUUCAGCGGGAUAACCCGGAGAAAUCCGGCCUAAUACCGCAUGUAGCCGAGGGGAGGCAUCUUCUUUCGGCCAAAGGAGGCGACUCCGGAGACGGAUGGGCAUGCGUGACAUUAGCUAGUUGGCGGGGUAACGGCCCACCAAGGCGACGAUGUCUAGGGGUUCUGAGAGGAAGGUCCCCCACACUGGUACUGAGACACGGACCAGACUCCUACGGAAGGCAGCAG